Molecule: non-coding RNA, 48 nt
Filed under: Schistosoma mansoni
Lineage: Eukaryota; Metazoa; Platyhelminthes; Trematoda; Strigeidida; Schistosomatidae
Source: RNAcentral
AUCUAGCUGACGAGUCCCAAAUAGAACGAAACGCGUGUCAAACUGGAU